RNAcentral lists this ribosomal RNA (492 nucleotides) under uncultured bacterium. RNAcentral describes it as "partial 16S ribosomal RNA". It matches the Rfam family "Bacterial small subunit ribosomal RNA", at positions 29 to 507 of the family's 1533-position model. The record is from RNAcentral.
AGUGAACGCUGGCGGUAGGCCUAGCACAUGCAAGUCGAACGGCAGCACAGUAAGAUCUUGCUCUUACGGGUGGCGAGUGGCGGACGGGUGAGGAAUACAUCGGAAUCUACUUUUUCGUGGGGGAUAACGUAGGGAAACUUACGCUAAUACCGCAUACGACCUACGGGUGAAAGCAGGGGAUCUUCGGACCUUUCGCGAUUGAAUGAGCCGAUGUCGGAUUAGCUAGUUGGCGGGGUAAAGGCCCACCAAGGCGACGAUCCGUAGCUGGUCUGAGAGGAUGAUCAGCCACACUGGAACUGAGACACGGUCCAGACUCCUACGGGAGGCAGCAGUGGGGAAUAUUGGACAAUGGGCGCAAGCCUGAUCCAGCCAUACCGCGUGGGUGAAGAAGGCCUUCGGGUUGUAAAGCCCUUUUGUUGGGAAAGAAAAGCAGCAGGUUAAUACCCCGCUGUUCUGACGGUACCCAAAGAAUAAGCACCGGCUAACUUCGUG